This 309-nucleotide unclassified non-coding RNA is filed under the name Hevea brasiliensis (rubber tree). The record is from RNAcentral. Lineage: Eukaryota; Viridiplantae; Streptophyta; Magnoliopsida; Malpighiales; Euphorbiaceae.
CGCCAGAAGAUUGAGGUAGCCAGCGUUAUGGUGCAAGCAUAGUAUAAUGGCCCCUUCAGAAGCUCCCUGUAGUCUCCAUGUCUGCUCAUUGAUUUGACCAUGGCUUCAUUUUGCCAUAUUCCAAGUCCCAUCAGCAACAUCCGAAUGAUGUUAACCCCCGGAGCUAGCGCUGCCAGGAACGGUGCUUGGAUUCUAGAGCUGAACAGAGGCCAGAAAAGUACGAAUACCAGACCAAUGCUGAUAUGCACAAGCUUCCGGUUCAAUUUCUGAUCAAACACUCCCCUUUUGGCAACCUCCUCCCAGAAUCUG